GACCGCGUAGCUCAGUUUGCAGAGCAUUGGGCUAGUAUUCCAAAGGUCGUAGGUUCGAUUCCCACCGUGGCCA
Paramuricea clavata is the source of this 73-nucleotide non-coding RNA. NCBI's taxonomy places the organism in Eukaryota, Metazoa, Cnidaria, Anthozoa, Malacalcyonacea, Plexauridae. The record is from the annotation of a GenBank genome assembly.